Molecule: ribosomal RNA, 434 nt
Filed under: uncultured bacterium
Lineage: Bacteria
Description: bacterial SSU rRNA
Rfam family: Bacterial small subunit ribosomal RNA
Source: RNAcentral
UGAGGAAUAUUGGUCAAUGGGCGGGAGCCUGAACCAGCCAAGCCGCGUGAGGGAGGAAGGCCCUAUGGGUCGUAAACCUCUUUUGUCAGGGAACAAAAGCGAGUAUGUAUACUAGUCUGAGUGUACCUGAAGAAAAAGCAUCGGCUAACUCCGUGCCAGCAGCCGCGGUAAUACGGAGGAUGCGAGCGUUAUCCGGAUUUAUUGGGUUUAAAGGGUGCGUAGGCGGCGGUGCAAGUCAGCGGUAAAAGCCCGGGGCUCAACCCCGGCGAGCCGUUGAAACUGCAGUGCUAUAGAAGGCGAGAGGUACGCGGAAUGCGCAGUGUAGCGGUGAAAUGCUUAGAUAUUGCGCAGAACAUCCGAUUGCGAAGGCAGCGUACUGGCGCCUGACUGACGCUGAGGCACGAAAGCGUGGGGAUCGAACAGGAUUAGAUACC